RNAcentral lists this small RNA (27 nucleotides) under Bombyx mori (domestic silkworm). Its description in RNAcentral is "ovarian small RNA-2031". The record is from RNAcentral. Lineage: Eukaryota; Metazoa; Arthropoda; Insecta; Lepidoptera; Bombycidae.
UCCAGGAGGAACACGCUGGUUUUGGUC